AGUGCAGCUGCAGGAAUGACUCCCUCCGCCGGCGCCAAACACUAACAACCACCCCCUCUUCCCCACUCCACUUCCGCCACCGCCGCAGCCGCCGCUGCCGCCACUUGGGCUCGCGUCCUCGGCCGCGCCGCGCGGCACCCGGGCCCAGCAGCCGGGAGGCGGCAGCUCUCCUCUACGCCCGUCCCCUCAGGGCGGCUGUGGAUGUUGCCAGUAUUGUCGAUGCUUCAGAGCGACGUUUGCCCUGCGACACAGGCGGGCCGGCUCUCCUCUGUCUUUAUUUUCCUGGAGGCCGACAGGAGCGGGGCCCGAGUUCGGUGGUGGUCGUGAGCGUGGGGGGCACUCAGGCCCGGACGGGCUCUCAGGUCGCCGACGGCGGCGGCUGGAGGCCGCGCUGGCUGUCCCAGGUCGUCGUUAGCUUUAGGGAGCCGAUCUCCGGGCGGCCCCACAGAGGACGCCCGCGAUUCGAUGGCGAUGAUGCCCGUUUUAAAUGGUGUCCCUGCAGCCGGGUGGAUGGAUGGAUCGUACACCUUGCCUUUUGAGAGCCGGGACCUUACGCCCGACUGCGUGUUAUUUCUGCGAAUAAGAACGCAACCUUUGGAGGUGAAGACGACUGUCGGCUGGAUUGAAUUGGAAUCGUGUUUGUGAUGAUGCGUUUAUUUCUGGAAAUACGCGGUCUCCGCUGCUUUUGCUUUUUGUCGGCAGAGGUUUGGGUUCUUCUCUAACGGUCAGGAUAAAGGCCUGUAGGCGACGCUGCGCGAGCGAGAAGCUCGCCCGCGGCUGCCCGGGCGCCCCCCUCUAGGUGUGGGUGGAGCCGAGCGCGCGGGGAGAACCGCCGGCCCCGACUCAGCCACCGGUGACUGCGGGCGACCCGCGGGCCUGCGGCCAGCUGAUUUCAAACAUCGUUUUCCUCUUUAGGUUCGGAAAACUGAGGCGCUGGACAAGGCUGGAAUACAAUAUGUGAUUAUACGUACAGUACUAUGGUUGUUGUAGUUUUUAAAUUGUAAAACAAGAAGUAACCAUUGUUCCACCGUUCUCUAUUAAGUUUGUGUAAAUUAAAAAGGGGCUAUUUUCGGUAAAAAGUGCAGUAGGUAAGCGGAAUUUUACUCAACCGGGACGAAAUUCGUGUUAUAUGAAUUGUAUUGUGUAUUUGUGUGUGUACCAGUGCGCUAAAAGUAAGUAGGAAAACUUGCUUAGAUUAUUCCUUUUGCCUCAGGCCACUCAGGGGGCCAAGAUCCUGUCACUCCUUUUCUCUAGGCCCUGCGAAUGGCUUCCCGUCUUGAGGGGAGUGAGCCAAAGCCUUGACUGCGGCAGAAGUCCCCGCGCGCCGUUGAGGGUGGGGGCGGGCCUGCCCUGGCAUCCUUGCGAGUAGGACUCUUCCCUGAGCGUCGUCCACAGGGCUUGCUCCUUCACCUUCAGGAUUUUGCUCGUGUCACUCGGUGCUUCCGCGGCUACUUUUAAACUGAAAGUUCCCUAGCCCCCUUCUCAUUUUAUCCUUUGGACAGUCUACAUAUCCAUACUUGUUUAUCUUCUUAUCUCUCCUUCCCCAGUGCAAUGUAAGCUCUAAGAGGACAAGAGGUUGUGUUUUUCUGCACUGGUGUUACGGCCCCCGCCUAGAAUGCCACACAGUAGAUGCGUAGUAUGUGGUUAAGGAAUGAAUGCGAUUAUAAGGGCCUUGAUGCUCCCCCAUUUCUGUCUUUAAUAUGUACUUAUAUGCUACAGAGAGCUUUAUAAAAGAUUUAAAACACGUUUAUUACAGAAUUCUAUAAAAAUAUAUUGCUUCUAAACAUUGGAAAGCCCUCCACAACACCAGAAACCCACAAAUGAGGGAUAAAAUUUGUUUUUAGGCUUCUGUAAAUGAGCAUGCCCGAGGACAGUGCAUCAAAUGAUCAUAUCCAUACUGGGCCGAUUAUGUUUGCUCUUCUGAGUCUCAAACUGCAUUCUUCAUCUUGUCGUCCUCUGUCUUUCAAAAUACAUUAAAAGUGAGAAUUUGGUUGGCUCAGAGCAAAUCCAGCACUAUUGGAAAAGUUCAUUCAGCAAGUAUUUAUUGGGCACAAAUGGGUACCAGGCACGCUAAUUCAAAAGGUGUGUGUUUCUGAGGCUAGAAGGCCUUACAUAAAGGACCACAUGUGGCUACUUUGGUUGCUACUCAAUUAUGCUGUCAAGCAAAGCAAAUGCUAGUGAAAUUUAUUUUUAGUUUUCUUCUGAAGAAAAGGUUCAAUGAAAGCUGAGGUCAGGCUUGGUGUGGAUAUUUUAAUUCACCAUUUAGUUUGCUGUUUGCUUACACUUAGGUUAGCAUUAGAUAUACUUAAUCAUGAUUUUUGAGUACUAUAAAACGUGAGAAAUCUUAUUUCCUAGUGGCUGGAAAAACAGGCUUUUUAAAUUAAAAUAAGUAAAUAUAUCAGUAAGCUAGAAGCUAUGCAAUAAGGCUUUGGCUAUGGUAUUACAAAUUUUCAUAUUUCAUGUAUUGAAUUUUUGGACAAGAAAAGACAGCCUUGAUAGGUAUUUUAUAACCAUUAAUACAAUUAAUCAAACAUUGUUUAGUAAAUCCAAUCGUCUAUUCAUUAUUAUUUUUCCCAUUAAUCUUCAGAACAGCUUUAAGUUAAUACAGAUGACUCAGAAUGUGUUUUUCACUCAGUUUCAAAAUACCAUUAUUUCAAUUCGCUAAUAGAAGCACAAUUAUCUUCUUGUCUGCUUUCUUAAAUGUUACUGGUAAACUAGUAAUUUUGCAUGUCCAGGUAACUGCAGCUGCUACAGUCAAUCUGCUUUGGAAAGUCUUGGCAUUAUUGUGUCAUUUAAUUUAAAAUUUUUAAGUUUUUUUAGUUUCUUCCCUUAUUGAGGACUUAUUAGGCGCUAAUUAGCUUUAUGCUAGACAUCUCAUGCAUGGCAGUGAAUGAAAACAACACUGCCUUUGAGGGUUUUAACUUGUAUAUAGUUUAUACCAUUUUUUUUCCAGGUUAUAGAAUCAAAGAAAUUGUUUCAAUUCAUAUCACAGUAUUUCUCUAUUAAAUCAAAUGGUAUUUUGCUUGCAUAAAUUUAAGUAUCCAAGUUGAGAUCUUACAUAGAAUCUGUUAAUCUAAUAUUAGUGUUUUCUUCAUUUCAUUGUCUUGGGUUUUUUUUUCUUAAUAAUUAUUUUUCCCAAUACCAUCCAUUUGUUUUGCUCUUACAUUUUUAAGUCUUUUAUGUUCCAAAUCAGGUGACUUACAUCCUCCACUUGUCCAUUGAGGAUAGCCCAGUAAACCUUUAUUCUGACUUUAAAUUGCCUCCUUGCUUCAAGAACUGAGUUGCAUGACUCAGUUUUCUUUGCUAGAAAUAUCCCUGGAUAGUCUCGUAUGUAUUCUUGAUCAAUGAAUUGCAGAAGAUUUGAUUAAAAAUUUUAAAUGGAUUUCAGGGAUAAACUAUUUGUAUCAAAUGUCAUCACCAGGAAUUUCUACAACUGAAAAAUUUGAAUUGUUAUUUUUAUUGAAGAAUAUUUAUCUUUAAGAUAAAUGCAACUUGCUAUAAAAUGAUAGAAAUGAAAAAUUUUAGAAAAUCAUUUUCUACUCACUAUUUUAUGCCUGCCAGUUAUCCUUUGUUAGUGAUAAAAUUGUCUUUUAUGGGAACGAAUUUGUUAAAGGUAGAAAAAAAACUGGUAGUGUAUGUAUGUUUUAUAGAUUAGACACUACCAAAAUUAUUUAACAUUUAGAAUAAUUAACUUGCUUUCAGGAUGACAGAUGACUUAAGAAACUGAUGAAGGGUUAAUUAAGGAUAUUGAUUUUUAGGGCAGAACUACAAAAUUAUCAAAUCACUUAACACUGUAAAUAUGUUCCUGUUUCAGGUUUUCAAAGUAAAUACCUUAAUCAAAUUUGGAAAUAGUAUUUAUGGAUUUUAUUCAACAUAGAUUAUCUAUUUUGUUAAAAUUAUAGAAAUGAACAGUUCUUUUCCCAUGGAUGCCUUUUUUCAUCUUGGCCUAUUCUGAUCCUUUAAGAACAAGCUUUGUCCUUUCAUUAAUACUUCUCACCUAUAAUUACGAAUUUUCUCUAAACUUGUAGAUUUUAUUAUCCAUGCCAUCUAUUUAUAAUCCUAUGACACUCCUAUAUUGUUUAUGGUUUUUUUGUUUUUUUUUGUUUUUUUUUUUAGACGAAGUCUUGCUCUGUCACCCAGGCUGGAGUGCAGUGGUGCAAUCUCGGCUCACUGCAAGCUCCGCCUCCCGGUUCACGCCAUGCUUCUGCCUCAGCCUCCCCAGUACCUGGGACUACAGGCGCCCACCACCACGCCCGGCUAAUUUUUUGUACUUUUAGUAGAGAUGGGGUUUCACCGUGUUAGCCAGGAUGGUCUCCAUCUCCUGACCUCGUGAUCCCCCGGCCUCGGCCUCCCAAAGUGUUGGGAUUACAGGCGUGAGCCACUGUGCCUGGCCUUACUGUUUAUGUUUUCAUGCAUCUAUACCUUAUGUUACUAAAUCAAAGUGACCAGUUCCACAUUAUACUACAAGUUUCACUGUGUAAUGCAUAAGAAUUACACAGAGGGAAGGGCCUCAAAAAAUGCACUUCUGAAGUAUUUUAAUGUAAAAUUAUUUAAGACCAUAAAGUUUCAUGAAAGCCUAAUCUUUCUGGAACCUACACAUACUCUGCAUGUGAACCAGAGUUAAACUAGUCAAGUAUUUUAAUACUGAACUAAUCUGGAAAAACAUCAUUUAAAAAAUUACUGUAUUUAUGAAGGAAGAAUAUAAAAUCUGUUAAAAACUUAAAACAUCUAAAAUAGGUAUGAAGAGAGGCUUAUGGUGCUCAUUUUAACAGCAUUCUUGAGUAGGUUACCUUGCAGUCAAAGCAUCUGCUCCAGACCAGUGUUUUAAACUGUGGAUUAUGGUACCACUAUGGGUCAUGAAAUUAAUUUAUUGCAUUAUGACUAGCAUUUUUUAUUUAAAAUAGAGAAAAGAAUAGAAAAUAAAAGCGUACAUCACAGAUGGUAAGGGUAUGUGUUUUUAAGUAAACAUUUGUUCAUGUGUAUAUGUGUUAGAUUACCUUGUAAAACAUAUUCCUUAUUGUGGGUUACAGGCCAAAAAAAGUGUUUGUUUUUGUUUUUAAAAAUCUACAGUUCAGAUUUUCCUUAGAAAAUGGGGAAAAAAGGAAUGUUAGAAAGAUCUGACUGCCUAUGAACUAGUGAAGGAUUUUAGAGGAAGUACCAGGCUAUUUUAGAGAUCUGAUACUGGUUUCAGAAAGGUAAUCUUAAGGCAAAGGGUAGGAAAUAAAGUUAUGUUGUUAGUAGAAAUGUCAAAUACGGUUAAAGUUGUGAGGAGGAAUUAUUUUCCUAGUGGACCUACAUUUGUUGUGUGUAGAUCUGUGACUAUUACUGAUCUGUUGUAGCACAUUUUCCAAUCUAAAAUGUCCGAUACAGCACAAUAAUAAACAUGGGGCAGAAUAUAUGUUUGUUUCUAUUUCUUCCCACCUUCCCUUCAAUCUUAAAACAAGUGUUUAUUAAUAAGUCAGACCAAAGCAAAUUUCUAUCUUUCACAGAGUAAUUAUCAUAGGAACAAAUUACUCCCUGAAAAUGGUGGAAACUUCUUUCUCCCUCCGAAAAAUAAACUUUCAAUAAGUGUUUUCUCUCUAGCCAAAGUAAAUAAGUUCUUAAAUAGGUAACUCUCAUUUGCCAUCCAACUCAUUCUAUAUAUUUAAAUAAAUGUACUUACACUUGUGUAUAGGAUUUAAAAGGGGGAAACUUAAGAAGGAAGAAAUUGUGUAUAGAAUUUAAAAAGGAGGCAUUAUAUUGCAUGAGUAGAAUGAAAAGUAUCUAACCAGAAAGCAAAUAAGUUAAGGAUUAUAUUAUACUGAAAUAUUUUAAUACAAUUUAAAUAUUUCAUUACUCUUUCACUUUAUUUGCUAUUUGUAGAUUUCAGUAUUGUAAUGUUGGCAAGUCUAUUUAAGACGGCAUUAAUAAAAAUUUUGUUUUUCAGGCAUGUGAUACCAAGUCCCUUUCCAUUAUAGAUAAGUAAGGCCUAGGUUGGUUAAAACCUUAGCUAAACACAAAAUUUGCUAGAGAAUCAACAUAUAAGAAGCUCUAACUCCAAGCUUAUUCACCCCAGAUAUUUCACCAAUGUUAACACAUACCCUAUUGAACUAAGAAAGGAAUUAUAUUACUAACCAGCAGAGGGAGCCAAGUCAAUCAUGAAAGGUAGGAGUAUAAAGGAACAUCAUAUGACUUCCUGUUUUGAAUUUAACUGUAUGGCCCCUGCUCACUUUUUGAGUUUACCAAAAAGACAGUCAUAAGGAGAGAAAGGCGACCAAUGUAUCAAAUAAGGAUACAGUGACAAUUAUAACUUAGAAUUACCUUGCAGGAAAUAAAUUGGAAGAAAAAUUGAAUGCAGAACUAUACAAGUGAAAUGUCUCAGUAUUAUAACCCAAGAUGGAAAAACCAUGGAAAACAGUACCUUAAUGCCAUGAUGAAUUGCUAGCCAAAUGUAACAGUGAAUAUUUCUUAAUAAUUCCAUUUUCACUUAAAGUUGAAAUUAGGCCAUAAAUAGACACAUUUUAAAACUAUAAAGUUGUACAUCAAAUUUAUGUGCAUUUAAUCUAAGAAAUAAGGGAUAAAAUUUAAUAAAAAAUUAUUACAGUGAAUUAAUAAGGACAUGAUUUUUCAGCUUAAAAUUAGAGAACAGAAUUGUUUCCACUACUGUUUAUAAACACAACAAAUAAAGUAAUAUCUGUUUUGUGAGAGAUGUUUGGAGGAAUCUAGUAGCUAAGUGAUUAUGUCAGUUUAUUUAAUUUUGUCUAAGAACUUCAAAAUGCCUGAUAGAAUGGGUGCAUAUUGAAUGAAUAGAUGUGAUCUAUAUAUUAUUUGAAGUAAAAGUAUAAGAGCUGAGCGUUAGCUAACUGCAUCAAAAUAAAUGUAAAGACCCAAACAUUUUUAGUUGAAUAACCAAAUGAAUUAGCUAGUCUAGCCCCUUACUCGUUUCAAGGUUUGUGGAAACAUACCAUAUAUACUUUUACUCAUGUGUUUAUUCCUUUCAAAAAUAUACUUCUUAAGCACUAUCUCCAUAGGACGUGGAGCAUAUCUUCAUUAUGAAGUAGACAAACUUCUUAAAUUUUAUUGAAAGAUUUAAUUUCAUUGAUAUAUGAACAAUCAUACAAAUUCAGUAUGCCACCAGUGAUUUCAAGAAAGUGAUACUUAGAAGCAAAUCAUUUAUGGGACUAGACUGCCUUUGUAGGACUAACAAAUUAGGCACAAGAUUAGAAAUUAUAGUUUAAUAGUCAUGCAGCUGGAGGCUACACGAUUCUGACCCUCCCUAACCUGCUCCUAAGAUCAGUGCUUGAGAUAUUCUGCAGACCCUGCACUUGAUGGAUCAGCUGGCACCACCCAGAUCAAUAAACUGGCUCAUCUGAUCUUGUGGCCACCACCCAGGAACUGAUUCAGAGCAAGAGGACUGCUUCAAUUCCCUAUGAUUUCAUCUCCAACCCAACCAAUCAGCACACUCUAUUCACUUGCCUUCCCCCACCCACCAAAUUAUCCUUAAAAACUGAUCCCCAAAUGCUCCAGGAGACUGAUUUGAGUUAUAAUAAAACUCCGAUCUCCAGCCAAAAAAUAAAAAAUAAAAAGCAAAUUAUUUGAUUUUGAGUACUAGAAAGUAGACUUUAAACUUUUUGAAGGGUAUAUUCUUUUAUAAUGCUAUAUUAUACUGGCAUUAUUUUAUAAAUUGGCAUUUGGUGUCAAGUCAGUUAAUCACAGCGAUAAUAUCCAAGAUGUACAGCUCAUCAGUCCUAGAGACAUUUUUUUUUGUUUGUUUAAGACAGAGUCUCUGUCACCCAGGCUGGAGUGCUGCAGUGGUGCGAUCUCGCCUGCCUCGGCCUCCCAAAGUGCUGAGAUUACAGGCGUGAGCCACUGCGCCCAGCCUAGAGACAUUUUAAUGCCAAAAAACCCUCAAUGCCACCAGUAUUACUACUUCUAAUUAUUUGUUUCCUUUACACACGAGUUGUGAUGAAUAUGGGCUAUUAGAAUUGCAUAAACAGCCUAAGCUUUUAAAUGUUUCCACUCAUGAAAAAUAGCUAUUAUGAACUUUUAAACAUUAAAUUAAUAAAGUGCAAUAGCUUUACCAUGAACUAUUCCUUAUUGAUAAACAUAGUAAUGGGUUAACUCAUGUCAAAGUCCAAUAAAAACUAGUAACUUUGUCACCAAAGUCAACAUUUCAGCAUCUAUGAUAUGUAGUAUAGGUAUUUCUGUUUUAUCUAGUUUUCAUUUAAUAAUCUAAAAGAUUCUGGCCGGGCACGGUAGCUCACGCCUGUAAUCCCAGCACUUUGAGAGGCCGAGGGAGGCAGAUCACGAAGUCAGGAGAUAGAGACCAUCCUGGCUAACAUGGUGAAACCCCGUCUCUACUAAAAAUACAAAAAAUUAGCCGGGCGUGGUGGUGGGCGCCUGUAGUCCCAGCUACUAGGGAGGCUGAGGCAGGAGAAUGGCGUGAACCCGAAAGGUGGAGCUUGCAGUGAGCCGAGAUUGCACCACUGCACUCCAGCCUGGGCGACAGAGUGAAACUCCGUCUCAAAAAAAUAAAUAAAUAAUAAAUAAAUAAACUCAAAAACCAAACAAAGGCUGGUGAGAAAAUAGCUCAUUUCUUGUCUUAUUCCAGAGUAAGGAGUGGUGACAGAUUAGGAAAAGCAUCAAAAAAGUGGCUUCCAGUGAACAAAAUCAGGAAGUUUGAGUAAAGAAUUUCUCUUUUGCUAAAAACUUAAAUAUAAAAGUUUAGUCAGGAAUUUGUACCCACACAUGUAUACUGCUUUUAACAUUUUUCUCUAGACAUUUGAAAUAUUUUAUUUUCUCUUUAAAAAAGCAGCACCAAAACCUAAAUUUAAUAGUAAUGUUUCUGAUUUAUCAGCUUCUUUCCAUCUUACACUGUUGAAUUCUGUACUGCUUCUAAAGCACCUACAAUUAACUCUACAAGAACUGCACAAUUAACACUCGGCAUUGCCUUCUUCCUAAUUCUAACAUCGACAUUCAUCAGCUUUCUCCAAUACAGUCAGAUGAUUCCUUAUAAUCAUAUCUAGCCAAAUGAUGUAACUUUUGCUUGAUGUAUGGGAAAAUAGCUUACAUUAUGAAUUUAGAAGAGCUAUAGUAGUAUUUGACAAUAUAGAUGGAAAAGUAUUUUUAAUUUAAAGAACAUAUUGCACAUCUUUCAGAAUUUCUGUAAAAACUUUUGAAUGUCCAUUUUGGCUAG
Molecule: long non-coding RNA, 9175 nt
Filed under: Homo sapiens (human)
Lineage: Eukaryota; Metazoa; Chordata; Mammalia; Primates; Hominidae
Description: non-protein coding NIPBL-DT:11
Source: RNAcentral